This 284-nucleotide long non-coding RNA is filed under the name Homo sapiens (human). RNAcentral describes it as "non-protein coding LINC00894:32". Lineage: Eukaryota; Metazoa; Chordata; Mammalia; Primates; Hominidae. The record is from RNAcentral.
UUCCUUCCCAAUGGCAACUAUGUUUGGAUGUUGGAUCUACACUUUCUCAAGCACUGUGAUCUUCAAAUCAAAGGAGAUUUCUCCCAUUAUAUACUUCUUAUGAUCAACAAAUUCCAUCAUCUCCCCACUAAGAGAAAGUACUCCAAGAUGAUAGAAUGAUUUUAAAGUUAUGGGACUACAACAGCAGCCACAGGAACCUUGAGUAAGUACCAUGAACCCUGACCCUCAGCGUUAAUUUGUAAGCCUUUGGCAGUGAGAUGGAAUGUCUUCCUUCAGUUUGAAAC